Molecule: ribosomal RNA, 500 nt
Filed under: uncultured bacterium
Lineage: Bacteria
Description: partial 16S ribosomal RNA
Rfam family: Bacterial small subunit ribosomal RNA
Source: RNAcentral
GAUGAACGCUAGCGGCAGGCUUAACACAUGCAAGUCGAGGGGCAGCACAGGUAGCAAUACUGGGUGGCGACCGGCAAACGGGUGCGGAACACGUACACAAUCUGCCUUUAUCUGGGGAAUAGCCCGAAGAAAUUCGGAUUAAUACCCCAUAACAUAUUUGGAUGGCAUCAUUUGAAUAUUAAAACUCCGGUGGAUAAAUAUGAGUGUGCGUCCCAUUAGCUAGUUGGCAGGGUAACGGCCUACCAAGGCGACGAUGGGUAGCUGGUGUGAGAGCACGACCAGCCACACGGGCACUGAGACACGGGCCCGACUCCUACGGGAGGCAGCAGUGAGGAAUAUUGGUCAAUGGACGCAAGUCUGAACCAGCCAUGCCGCGUGAAGGAUGAAGGCCUUCUGGGUUGUAAACUUCUUUUAUUGGGGAAGAAAAUUACGGUUUCUACUGUAACCGACGGUACCCAAGGAAUCAGCACCGGCUAACUCCGUGCCAGCAGCCGCCGUAA